RNAcentral lists this ribosomal RNA (1399 nucleotides) under uncultured bacterium. RNAcentral's name for it is "16S ribosomal RNA". It matches the Rfam family "Bacterial small subunit ribosomal RNA". The record is from RNAcentral.
AGAGUUUGAUCCUGGCUCAGGAUGAACGCUAGCGGCAGGCUUAACACAUGCAAGUCGAGGGGCAUCGGGAGGGAAGCUUGCUUUCCUUGCCGGCGACCGGCGCACGGGUGAGUAACACGUAUGCAACCUGCCCUCUUCAGGGGGACAACCUUCCGAAAGGGAGGCUAAUCCCGCGUAUAUCGGUUUCGGGCAUCCGAGAUCGAGGAAAGAUUCAUCGGAAGAGGAUGGGCAUGCGGCGCAUUAGCUAGACGGCGGGGUAACGGCCCACCGUGGCGACGAUGCGUAGGGGUUCUGAGAGGAAGGUCCCCCACACUGGUACUGAGACACGGACCAGACUCCUACGGGAGGCAGCAGUGAGGAAUAUUGGUCAAUGGGAGAGAUCCUGAACCAGCCAAGCCGCGUGAGGGAAGACGGCCCUAUGGGUUGUAAACCUCUUUUGUCGGAGAACAAAACCCGGGACGAGUCCCGGACUGCGUGUAUCCGAAGAAAAAGCAUCGGCUAACUCCGUGCCCAGCAGCCGCGGUAAUACGGAGGAUGCGAGCGUUAUCCGGAUUUAUUGGGUUUAAAGGGUGCGUAGGCGGUCCGUUAAGUCAGCGGUAAAAUUGCGGGGCUCAACCCCGUCGAGCCGUUGAAACUGGCAGACUUGGGUUGGCGAGAAGUACGCGGAAUGCGCGGUGUAGCGGUGAAAUGCAUAGAUAUCGCGCAGAACUCCGAUUGCGAAGGCAGCGUACCGGCGCCAGACUGACGCUGAGGCACGAAAGCGUGGGGAUCGAACAGGAUUAGAUACCCUGGUAGUCCACGCAGUAAACGAUGAAUGCUGGUUGUCCGGGUCGAAUGAGACCUGGGCGGCGAAGCGAAAGCGAUAAGCAUUCCACCUGGGGAGUACGCCGGCAACGGUGAAACUCAAAGGAAUUGACGGGGGCCCGCACAAGCGGAGGAACAUGUGGUUUAAUUCGAUGAUACGCGAGGAACCUUACCCGGGCUCAAACGGGAGUGGAAUGGACCAGAGACGGUUCAGCCUACGGGCCGCUUCCGAGGUGCUGCAUGGUUGUCGUCAGCUCGUGCCGUGAGGUGUCGGCUUAAGUGCCAUAACGAGCGCAACCCCCGCCGGCAGUUGCUAACGGGCAAUGCCGAGGACUCUGCCGGGACUGCCGCCGCAAGGCGUGAGGAAGGCGGGGAUGACGUCAAAUCAGCACGGCCCUUACGUCCGGGGCGACACACGUGUUACAAUGGGCGGUACAGCGGGAAGCCAGGCGGCGACGCCGAGCGGAACCCGAAAGCCGUUCUCAGUUCGGAUCGGAGUCUGCAACCCGACUCCGUGAAGCUGGAUUCGCUAGUAAUCGCGCAUCAGCCAUGGCGCGGUGAAUACGUUCCCGGGCCUUGCACACACCGCCCGUCA